CAGUCGCCGCGGGAAUACGGAGGGUGCAAGCGUUAAUCGGAAUUACUGGGCGUAAAGCGCACGCAGGCGGUUUGUUAAGUCAGAUGUGAAAUCCCCGAGCUUAACUUGGGAACUGCAUUUGAAACUGGCAAGCUAGAGUCUUGUAGAGGGGGGUAGAAUUCCAGGUGUAGCGGUGAAAUGCGUAGAGAUCUGGAGGAAUACCGGUGGCGAAGGCGGCCCCCUGGACAAAGACUGACGCUCAGGUGCGAAAGCGUGGGGAGCAAACAGGAUUAGAGACCCGUGUAGUCCCUGUCUCUUAUAC
Molecule: ribosomal RNA, 301 nt
Filed under: uncultured bacterium
Lineage: Bacteria
Description: partial 16S ribosomal RNA
Rfam family: Bacterial small subunit ribosomal RNA
Source: RNAcentral